CCCCAAUUUCAGAAUCCAAACCUAGGUCAUGCGACUCACCAUGCCAUCUGCUAUCCAUCAUCAUCAGGAAGCCCGAAGCCGCCGAAGUUCCGAACAGCCCAAACGGCCGAACCGAAUCUCGUAUCACAAUCCACAAAACCCUUGGCCGAACCGAAUCCCGCCGCAACGCCUACUUCCUGCGCCCAACUCACCUAGGUCCAACAAGGUGAAUAAAUAACAUUAUCAUGGACGAGGCCAGUUAUAAUCCACCCCAAAAUGUUUCACCCGUUCAAAGUUGCGGCCAUUCUAUAGCACAAAUGAAUAGUGAAUAAUAUAGAGCAUGCCUUGAAUCAACAACACCAAAUACUUCAAAUCAAACAAUUUUUACAAAUGACAAUCAAGAAGUGAACUUGGGCAUUAAGCGAAAAUUGACUUCGGCGGUAUGGAACCAUUUUAAGAAAGAAAAAAUAGAUGAUAAAUGGAAGGCAAUAUGUAAUUAUUGUCAAAAGAAGCUUGGAGGAGAAUCAAAGAAUGGGACUAAACAUUUACAUGGUCAUUUUGCAUCAUGUCCAUUAAGGAAGACAAGAGAUAUUAAGCAAAGUAAUUUAAAAGGUAAGAUAAAUAAUGAAGGAAAGGUUUCACUUGGCACAUUUUCUUUUGAUAAAGAGGUUGCAAGAAAAGAGUUAGCUUCCAUGAUUGUUUUACAUGAGUAUCCAUUAACAAUGGUUGAGCAUCUUGGGUUUCGAAAGUUUGUUGGAGUUAUCCAACCAUUAUUUAAAAAUAUUUCUAGGGGAACAUUGAAAAAGGAUAUUCUCAAAAUAUAUGAGCAUGAAAGGGCAAAGACAAUGAAAUUGUUUGAAGAAAAUACUAAUAGAUUUGCAAUCACAACUGAUAUGUGGACAUCAAGCAAUCAAAAGAAAGGUUUUAUGGCUAUUAUGGCACAUUAUAUUGAUGCAUCAUGGAGUUUGCAAGGUCGAAUUAUCAGAUGGCUUGGAGGUUAUUUUUGAAGCUAUUGAAAAAGUUCGUGAAAGUGUUGCUUUUUGGAGUGCAACACCUAAAAGGAAUGAGAAGUUUGAAGAAACAGCUCGCCAGUUGAAAGUUUCUUGCACUAAAAAAUUGAUUUUAGAUUACAAGACAAGAUGGAAUUCUACAUACUUCAUGCUUAAUGUUGCUAUUUGUUACAAGGAUGUUUUUAAACGCUUGAAGCAAAGGGAGCCUUUUUACAAAUAUGUCCCAUUGGAUGAAGAGUGGGAAAUGGCUCAAGAAAUUUGUGGCAAACUAAAAAUGUUUCAUGCUAUCACAGAGGUAUUUUCUAGAACUAAGUACCCUAUUGCUAAUAUUUAUUUUUCCAAGAUUUGUGAUAUUAAAUUAGCAUUGAAACAGUGGAUUAAUUGUGGCCGACCUCAUAUUCAAGCUAUGGAAUAAAAACUGAUGGAAAAAUUUGAUAAAUAUUGGACUCAAAUGCAUGGUAUUAUGAGUGUAGCAACUAUUUUGGAUCCUCGGUAUAAGAUGAAGCUAUUGGAAUAUUAUUGCCCUCUUAUUUAUGGUGAUGAAGUGGCAAAGAUGGAAAUUGAUAGAAUUCAAAAGAUUUGUUAUCAUUUAAUUUCUGAAUAUUCAGCAAAGUUCAACAUCGGUGGAUAUGGUGGUUGUUCAAAGUCAUCAAAAGAUUAUCCUACCCAAUCAUCAUUAAGUGAAGAGUCAAAAUCAAUGAGUAAUUUUGACUUAUUUGUUGCUUCUAUUGAGACUGAAAAGGAGACUGUCAGUACAGAAUUUGAUCAUCAUUUGGAAGAGCGUUUGAUACCAGGAAAAGGUGAUUUUGAUACUUUAAGUUGGUGGAGAACGGUACUUAAUUAUCCUACACUGUAAUUGAUUGCUAGAGAUAUUUUGGCAAUUCUUGUGUCUACCGUGGCUUCAGAGUCGGCUUUCAGUACAAGUGGGUGAGUUGUGAGUCCACACCAUAGUAGCCUUCAUCCUGACAUACUUGAAGCAUUAAUGUGUACACAAAAUUGGUUAUGGACUCAAAUGAAAGGUAAGUAAAGAUGGGUGAAAUAUAUAACUAUUACAUAUUUUAAUGAAUAGUUUGAUCUAAUAAAUGUUUAUAAUUUUUAAGAUUCUAAUUCAACAACCGCUCAUUCUACAUGUUACACAAUUAGUGAUGAUAUGGAUGUGGUGGAUGAAGAGGUAAGGUAUUAAAUAUUCAAUGCUUAAACGUUAUAUACAUUGUUAUAUUAAUAGAAUUUAUUUUUUUGCUUGAUUUAUAUUUUAGGUUGAUGUUCAUCAUAAGGAUGGAACCGCAAUUAAUUUAUGAGUUGAUAAGUGUGGAGUUGGAUUUUGUGUUUAACAAAUUAAUGGUUUUAGAUUGUGUCAACGGACUUGAUUGGCUUUUUUAUGUGACUGCAUAAAAGAAGCUCUACGGACUACGUCUAUGUGCCAUGAAAUCCUAAGACAAGGAGGCUUUAUAGUUUAUAUUCUACAUUUUGAGUAUCGGACUUGUAUUAGAUUCUAGUAUUGUAAUUGUAUGAAUUCUAAAUUCCAUGUUUUGCUUGAUAAACAUUUGGAGUGUUUUGUUUUUGUAACUUUUUAUAUGUUGGUUUGUUGAGCUUU
Dioscorea cayenensis subsp. rotundata (Guinea yam) is the source of this 2583-nucleotide RNA transcript. It is a transcript of the gene named zinc finger BED domain-containing protein DAYSLEEPER-like, with no coding region annotated. The record is from RefSeq and is a predicted model, not a curated record. Lineage: Eukaryota; Viridiplantae; Streptophyta; Magnoliopsida; Dioscoreales; Dioscoreaceae. The transcript has 4 exons.